UCGUCACACUAUCAUUAACUGAAUCCAUAGGUUAAUGAGGCGAACCGGGGGAACUGAAACAUCUAAGUACCCCGAGGAAAAGAAAUCAACCGAGAUUCCCCCAGUAGCGGCGAGCGAACGGGGAGGAGCCCAGAGCCUGAAUCAGCAUGUGUGUUAGUGGAAGCGUCUGGAAAGGCGCGCGAUACAGGGUGACAGCCCCGUACACAAAAGCGCAUGUGCUGUGAGCUCGAUGAGUAGGGCGGGACACGUGGUAUCCUGUCUGAAUAUGGGGGGACCAUCCUCCAAGGCUAAAUACUCCUGACUGACCGAUAGUGAACCAGUACCGUGAGGGAAAGGCGAAAAGAACCCCGGCGAGGGGAGUGAAAAAGAACCUGAAACCGUGUACGUACAAGCAGUGGGAGCACAGGUUUACCUGUGUGACUGCGUACCUUUUGUAUAAUGGGUCAGCGACUUAUAUUCUGUAGCAAGGUUAACCGAAUAGGGGAGCCGGAGGGAAACCGAGUCUUAAUUGGGCGUUAAGUUGCAGGGUAUAGACCCGAAACCCGGUGAUCUAGCCAUGGGCAGGUUGAAGGUUGGGUAACACUAACUGGAGGACCGAACCGACUAAUGUUGAAAAAUUAGCGGAUGACCUGUGGCUGGGGGUGAAAGGCCAAUCAAACCGGGAGAUAGCUGGUUCUCCCCGAAAGCUAUUUAGGUAGCGCCUCGUGAAUUCAUCUCCGGGGGUAGAGCACUGUUUCGGCUAGGGGGCCAUCCCGGCUUACCAACCCGAUGCAAACUGCGAAUACCGGAGAAUGUUAUCACGGGAGACACACGGCGGGUGCUAACGUCCGUCGUGAAGAGGGAAACAACCCAGACCGCCAGCUAAGGUCCCAAAGUCAUGGUUAAGUGGGAAACGAUGUGGGAAGGCCCAGACAGCCAGGAUGUUGGCUUAGAAGCAGCCAUCAUUUAAAGAAAGCGUAAUAGCUCACUGGUCGAGUCGGCCUGCGCGGAAGAUGUAACGGGGCUAAACCAUGCACCGAAGCUGCGGCAGCGACGCUUAUGCGUUGUUGGGUAGGGGAGCGUUCUGUAAGCCUGUGAAGGUGGCCUGUGAGGGUUGCUGGAGGUAUCAGAAGUGCGAAUGCUGACAUAAGUAACGAUAAAGCGGGUGAAAAGCCCGCUCGCCGGAAGACCAAGGGUUCCUGUCCAACGUUAAUCGGGGCAGGGUGAGUCGACCCCUAAGGCGAGGCCGAAAGGCGUAGUCGAUGGGAAACGGGUUAAUAUUCCCGUACUUGGUGUUACUGCGAAGGGGGGACGGAGAAGGCUAUGUUGGCCGGGCGACGGUUGUCCCGGUUUAAGCGUGUAGGUGUGUGUUCCAGGUAAAUCCGGUUCACUUUAACACUGAGGCGUGACGACGAGGCACUACGGUGCUGAAGCAACAAAUGCCCUGCUUCCAGGAAAAGCCUCUAAGCAUCAGGUAACAUCAAAUCGUACCCCAAACCGACACAGGUGGUCAGGUAGAGAAUACCAAGGCGCUUGAGAGAACUCGGGUGAAGGAACUAGGCAAAAUGGUGCCGUAACUUCGGGAGAAGGCACGCUGACACGUAGGUGAAGUGAUUUACUCACGGAGCUGAAGUCAGUCGAAGAUACCAGCUGGCUGCAACUGUUUAUUAAAAACACAGCACUGUGCAAACACGAAAGUGGACGUAUACGGUGUGACGCCUGCCCGGUGCCGGAAGGUUAAUUGAUGGGGUCAGCGCAAGCGAAGCUCCUGAUCGAAGCCCCGGUAAACGGCGGCCGUAACUAUAACGGUCCUAAGGUAGCGAAAUUCCUUGUCGGGUAAGUUCCGACCUGCACGAAUGGCGUAAUGAUGGCCAGGCUGUCUCCACCCGAGACUCAGUGAAAUUGAACUCGCUGUGAAGAUGCAGUGUACCCGCGGCAAGACGGAAAGACCCCGUGAACCUUUACUAUAGCUUGACACUGAACAUUGAGCCUUGAUGUGUAGGAUAGGUGGGAGGCUUUGAAGUGUGGACGCCAGUCUGCAUGGAGCCGACCUUGAAAUACCACCCUUUAAUGUUUGAUGUUCUAACGUGGACCCGUAAUCCGGGUUGCGGACAGUGUCUGGUGGGUAGUUUGACUGGGGCGGUCUCCUCCUAAAGAGUAACGGAGGAGCACGAAGGUUGGCUAAUCCUGGUCGGACAUCAGGAGGUUAGUGCAAUGGCAUAAGCCAGCUUGACUGCGAGCGUGACGGCGCGAGCAGGUGCGAAAGCAGGUCAUAGUGAUCCGGUGGUUCUGAAUGGAAGGGCCAUCGCUCAACGGAUAAAAGGUACUCCGGGGAUAACAGGCUGAUACCGCCCAAGAGUUCAUAUCGACGGCGGUGUUUGGCACCUCGAUGUCGGCUCAUCACAUCCUGGGGCUGAAGUAGGUCCCAAGGGUAUGGCUGUUCGCCAUUUAAAGUGGUACGCGAGCUGGGUUUAGAACGUCGUGAGACAGUUCGGUCCCUAUCUGCCGUGGGCGCUGGAGAACUGAGGGGGGCUGCUCCUAGUACGAGAGGACCGGAGUGGACGCAUCACUGGUGUUCGGGUUGUCAUGCCAAUGGCACUGCCCGGUAGCUAAAUGCGGAAGAGAUAAGUGCUGAAAGC
Molecule: ribosomal RNA, 2618 nt
Filed under: Salmonella enterica subsp. enterica serovar Kentucky
Lineage: Bacteria; Pseudomonadati; Pseudomonadota; Gammaproteobacteria; Enterobacterales; Enterobacteriaceae
Description: partial 23S ribosomal RNA
Rfam family: Bacterial large subunit ribosomal RNA
Source: RNAcentral